This 401-nucleotide long non-coding RNA is filed under the name Solanum tuberosum (potato). RNAcentral describes it as "long non-coding RNA (STUB_LNC007943)". Lineage: Eukaryota; Viridiplantae; Streptophyta; Magnoliopsida; Solanales; Solanaceae. The record is from RNAcentral.
ACAAACAUUACAAAUUACAAAUGAAGUGUUGCAUCAUGUCAGCAACUUCCCAAACAUCACCUCUUCGAGUCUAACUACAUCAACAAUAAAGACAUAAGAAAGGAGGAGAAUCAUAGUCUAGAUACUCUAAAAAUAAGAUAAACAAACAUAAGCAAAAGAACCUCCAAAGAGUAGGGGAAAUGGAGAUUUAAAUCAAUAUACUAAUCGACAUUCCUUCCUUUAUUUUUACGCCAUUGAGUUUUGGUCCAAGGUCUAUCAGAAUAGAUAUUGUAAGUUACGUUGAUAAAAAAGUAGUAUGAUAAGCAAGCACAAAUCAAUUGUAACAACAACCAUACUUGUCAAUUUAUGUUAUAAGCUCAAAUUGCUUAGCAAAAAUCUUAGUACUUGGUCUAGAGAAGUUG